RNAcentral lists this unclassified non-coding RNA (344 nucleotides) under soil metagenome. RNAcentral describes it as "partial contains 5.8S ribosomal RNA, internal transcribed spacer 2, and large subunit ribosomal RNA". The stretch from base 1 to 120 matches the Rfam family "5.8S ribosomal RNA", at positions 35 to 154 of the family's 154-position model. The record is from RNAcentral.
GAUGAAGAACGCAGCGAAAUGCGAUAAGUAAUGUGAAUUGCAGAAUUCAGUGAAUCAUCGAAUCUUUGAACGCACAUUGCGCCCGCCAGUAUUCUGGCGGGCAUGCCUGUUCGAGCGUCAUUUCAACCCUCAGGGCCCUUUUGGACCUGGCGUUGGGGCUCGGCCGCUACCCUGCGGCCGUCCCCGAAAGAUAGUGGCGGUCUCGCUGUAGCCUCCUCUGCGUAGUAGUUACAUCUCGCACUGGAACGCGGCGCGGCCAUGCCGUUAAACACCCCACUUCUCAAGGUUGACCUCGGAUCAGGUAGGGAUACCCGCUGAACUUAAGCAUAUCAAUAAGCGGAGGA